AUGGAUCCAGCCAAGCUCAGCGUCUACAGCGGUGGGGGAAAUGACUCAACGAUGGAGGAAACGUCGGGGCCGUGGCACAACGGGGUGGACGGGGAGCAGCAGAGGGACCUGGAGGCCAGGGAGCCGGAUGUUGUGGACGGCGUGCUGACAGCUGCAGAGAUAAACAAUCACUGCAGGGGGCCAGCAGACAAAUACAAGUUCAGCGCAUACGGCUACCAGAGGAAGACCAAGGAGAAGGUUGUGAGUGACUUUUCCACACUGAGCAAGGGAACUUCUGUUGGAGCCAAACCCAAAGCGGCACUGAGACAGGUCCUGUUCAGUCAGGGGGUGUCGGAGAAAACCGCUGCAUCUGAGGUAUCAACGUCUCCCGUCUCCUCGGGCCACUAA
Molecule: long non-coding RNA, 387 nt
Filed under: Takifugu rubripes (torafugu)
Lineage: Eukaryota; Metazoa; Chordata; Actinopteri; Tetraodontiformes; Tetraodontidae
Description: lncRNA (ENSTRUG00000030037.1)
Source: RNAcentral